UAUUUUGGGUAAUCGCUAUAGAAAUAUAGAGGAAAGUCCAUGCUCACACAAUCUGAGAUGAUUGUAGUGUUCGUGCUUGAUGAAACAAUAAGUCAAGGCAUUAAUUUGACGGCAAUGAAAUAACCUAAGUCAUUCAUUGAUAUGGUUAAAAUAGUUUGAAAGUGCCACAGUGACGUAGCUUUUAUAGAAAUAUAAAAGGUGGAACGCGGUAAACCCCUCGAGUGAGCAAUCCAAAUUUGGUAGGAGCACUUGU
RNAcentral lists this RNase P RNA (253 nucleotides) under Staphylococcus sp. RNAcentral's name for it is "partial RNase P RNA component class B". It matches the Rfam family "Bacterial RNase P class B", at positions 1 to 263 of the family's 365-position model. Rfam says of the family: Ribonuclease P (RNase P) is a ubiquitous endoribonuclease, found in archaea, bacteria and eukarya as well as chloroplasts and mitochondria. Its best characterised activity is the generation of mature 5'-ends of tRNAs by cleaving the 5'-leader elements of precursor-tRNAs. Lineage: Bacteria; Bacillati; Bacillota; Bacilli; Caryophanales; Staphylococcaceae. The record is from RNAcentral.